CAGCAGUGGCCUGCUGCAGGGGCAGGGGCUCUGGGUGUGGCACUGCCUGUAUGGGACCUUUGGAAGGAGGUGGCCAUUGUCUUCAUUACCUCCACCAUAGUUUGGCCUCUGGUCAAACAACAGGGAAGGAACACAGCCCCACCCAUCAACAGAAAAUUGAAUUAAACAUUUACUG
Long non-coding RNA from Cervus elaphus (red deer), 175 nucleotides. RefSeq lists it as uncharacterized. Lineage: Eukaryota; Metazoa; Chordata; Mammalia; Artiodactyla; Cervidae. The transcript is spliced from 3 exons. The record is from RefSeq and is a predicted model, not a curated record.